Molecule: long non-coding RNA, 1261 nt
Organism: Calypte anna (Anna's hummingbird)
Lineage: Eukaryota; Metazoa; Chordata; Aves; Apodiformes; Trochilidae
Exons: 3
Source: RefSeq, a predicted model, not a curated record
CAACCUUUGAUAUUUAAGGGCCCUGUGACUCUCACGUCAACAUUUUGUGUUGGGGAGUGCUGAGGAGGAGACUCUGGAGUCUGUCAGGUUUGACUGCAGCAGUGAGAAGCACAGUGGCUGGGAGCUGGAAUUAAAAAAAACAUUAAAACAACUUCGGUACUGGAAGCACUUGGAUGGGAUUGGAACAUCACGUGCAAACAGAAGACAAGCCAGACUGGGAAGGUUACACAACCUCUGGGCACUAUAAAUCCAGGAUUUCCCUCUUCUUCAUCUCUUCACUGCCCUUCCACUCCUCCUCCUGGUGAAACCUCCACCCACAUUCAGCCAUGAGGAUCCUCCAGCUUCUCCUUGCAGUCGUUGUCAUUCUUCUCCUCCAGGAUGUUGCUGGAGCCAGAGGCCUUUCAGACACCCAGCAGUGCAUGAGCAACCGUGGCCACUGCAGGAGGCUUUGCUUCCACAUGGAGCGUUGGGAUGGGAGCUGCAGCAGCGGCCGCCUGCGGUGCUGCCGGUGAGAGCCACCACCCUGGGGUGGAACCCAGCACCCCAUGGCCAUGCACCCAGAGACUCUGCAACCACAACACCACCUAGGAUCUGCUCUGGGACACUCUGGGACACCCCAACCUCCAGCUCAUUUUGUCCUGCAACCAAUAAACAUCUUGGGUUUAUGUAAGCUUCUGGGUCCAGCGCUCGGCUGUGUUUGCCUCGGAGAUGGAUCAUGCUGCUGAAUAUUUGGGGGUUUGAUGAACUUGCCCACCCCAAUUCAUUUAGAGGUGUUUGAGAUGCACUGGGGUACCCAAAAAUCUGCAUGGGACCAAAGGGACAGCUGUGUCCUUCCAGGGUGGCAUCCAGAAAGGGAUCUGCUGGGUUUCUUUAUCAAUUAUGAAGCUUCUAGCCCAUACCCAUAUCCCUGUGUCUGUCACAGUCUUUACCAACGUCUACUUCUUGCUCUAUCCAUCAACAGAAGACACCAGAGCAGGAUUCAUCCUCUUCAAGGAUGUGGAUCCAGGACAGAGCUAUGAUUUGCCCUCUAGAGGUGCCCUGUAACAACAACAAGGUGAACCUUGGCUGGGUGCUCAGGUUCUCUUCACCUCUGAGAUGAGGUGAAGGGGAGUGAGAUGGAGAAAUCCCAAUCCCACGUGGAGAGCAAUGGUGGUCAUACAGCCAGUGUGGGGGGAUCUGCAUCAUCUGGGUGGGCAAAGUCUCGUGUGAAACUUUCCUGUGUACUACAAUGUUUAAAUAAAAAGAAAAACUGCUCAUAAAA